AGCGAACGCUGGCGGCAGGCUUAACACAUGCAAGUCGAACGGGCAUAGCAAUAUGUCAGUGGCAGACGGGUGAGUAACGCGUGGGAACGUACCUUUUGGUUCGGAACAACACAGGGAAACUUGUGCUAAUACCGGAUAAGCCCCUACGGCGAAAGAUUUAUCGCCGAAGGAUCGGCCCGCGCCUGAUUAGCUAGUUGGUAGGGUAAUGGCCUACCAAGGCGACGAUCAGUAACUGGGCUGAGAGGAUGAUCAGCCACAUUGGGACUGAUACACGGCCCAAACUCCUGGGGGAGGCAGCAGUGGGUAAUAUUGGACAAUGGGCGAAAGCCUGAUCCAGCCAGGCCGCGUGAGUGAUGAAGUCCCUAAGGUUGUAAAGCUCUUUUGUGCGGGAAGAUAAUGACGGUACCGAAAGAAUAAGCCCCGGCUAACUUCGUG
RNAcentral lists this ribosomal RNA (435 nucleotides) under uncultured bacterium. RNAcentral's name for it is "partial 16S ribosomal RNA". It matches the Rfam family "Bacterial small subunit ribosomal RNA", at positions 29 to 507 of the family's 1533-position model. The record is from RNAcentral.